GCUCGAGUGGCGAACGGGUGAGUAACACGUGAGUAGCCUGCCCUUGACUUUGGGAUAACUUCAGGAAACUGGGGCUAAUACCGGAUAGGAGCUCCUGCUGCAUGGUGGGGGUUGGAAAGUUUCGGCGGUUGGGGAUGGACUCGCGGCUUAUCAGCUUGUUGGUGGGGUAGUGGCUUACCAAGGCUUUGACGGGUAGCCGGCCUGAGAGGGUGACCGGCCACAUUGGGACUGAGAUACGGCCCAG
This 244-nucleotide ribosomal RNA is filed under the name uncultured Actinomycetales bacterium. RNAcentral's name for it is "partial 16S ribosomal RNA". It matches the Rfam family "Bacterial small subunit ribosomal RNA", at positions 89 to 334 of the family's 1533-position model. Lineage: Bacteria; Bacillati; Actinomycetota; Actinomycetes; Actinomycetales. The record is from RNAcentral.